GACGAACGCUGGCGGCGUGCUUAACACAUGCAAGUCGAACGGUAAGGCCCUUCGGGGUACACGAGUGGCGAACGGGUGAGUAACACGUGGGUGAUCUGCCCUGCACUUCGGGAUAAGCCUGGGAAACUGGGUCUAAUACCGGAUAGGACUCCUGGCUUCAUGGUUGGGGGUGGCAAGCUUUUGCGGUGUGGGAUGGGCCCGCGGCCGAUCAGCUUGUUGGUGGGGUAAUGGCCUACCAAGGCGACGACGGGUAGCCGGCCUGAGAGGGUGACCGGUCACACUGGGAAUGAGAUACGGCCCAGACUCCUACGGGAGGCAGCAGUGGGGAAUAUUGCACAAUGGGCGCAAGCCUGAUGCAGCGACGCCGCGUGAGGGAUGACGGCCUUCGGGUUGUAAACCUCUUUCAGCUAUGACGAAGCGCAAGUGACGGUAGUAGCAGAAGAAGGACCGGCCAACUACGUGCCAGCCGCCGCAGUAA
RNAcentral lists this ribosomal RNA (478 nucleotides) under uncultured bacterium. Its description in RNAcentral is "partial 16S ribosomal RNA". It matches the Rfam family "Bacterial small subunit ribosomal RNA", at positions 28 to 523 of the family's 1533-position model. The record is from RNAcentral.